RNAcentral lists this ribosomal RNA (433 nucleotides) under uncultured bacterium. RNAcentral describes it as "partial 16S ribosomal RNA". It matches the Rfam family "Bacterial small subunit ribosomal RNA", at positions 29 to 507 of the family's 1533-position model. The record is from RNAcentral.
AACGAACGCUGGCGGCAUGCCUAACACAUGCAAGUCGAACGAUACCUUCGGGUCUAGUGGCGCACGGGUGCGUAACGCGUGGGAACCUGCCCUUAGGUUCGGAAUAACUCCCCGAAAGGGGUGCUAAUACCAGAUAAUUUCUUCGGACCAAAGAUUUAUCGCCUUUGGAUGGGCCCGCGUUGGAUUAGCUAGUUGGUAGGGUAAAAGCCUACCAAGGCGACGAUCCAUAGCUGGUCUGAGAGGAUGAUCAGCCACACUGGGACUGAGACACGGCCCAGACUCCUACGGGAGGCAGCAGUGGGGAAUAUUGGACAAUGGGCGAAAGCCUGAUCCAGCAAUGCCGCGUGAGUGAUGAAGGCCUUAGGGUUGUAAAGCUCUUUUACCCGGGAUGAUAAUGACAGUACCGGGAGAAUAAGCGCCGGCUAACUCCGUG